AGCUAAAGCCCUUGUGCUUGUUCUUUGGCAGUAAAGCUGUGCGUGUAUCAGUGGUUUGACUGGACUCAGUUGUAUUUUGAAGGAACGUGUUGAUGUGAUUUGUGCCGCAGAUCUCAGCGGAGCUGCAGAACGAGCUUCUGCUGAGUUUGCUGGACACAGACAGUGAUGUGGUGCAUUAUCUGCUGAGGAGGAAAACACCACAGUGUGAAGACGUGAAGAGCUCCAGUGGAGAAAUCUCUCCGUACGAUAACAACUCUCCGGUGCUCUCCGAGUGGUUUCAUCCAUCAGGACCGGAGCAUCAUGCUCUCGAGAGGAACAACACUGUGAACUUCUGCCUCUCACCCUCACAAGCCAGCGCCGGGGAAACCAUACAUGAUAAGGCUCGUAUCUGGCGAACACGACACGCUCUUCUGUCAGGACUUCAUGACAAACUCCUCACAGGUUCGGAUGGACACCUGUAUAAACGCGCCUCCUCUGAUGUUUUCUAUGAUGACGAUAACGACAUGAAACCUGUGCAUGAGAUGCAAACGUCCUAUACAAACGUCGCCGCUGAAUGUAGAGCGCGCCUGCAGGUCACAAGUGCAGACGGCAGUCCUCUGAGCUCCCCGCGCCAUCAAAUGCAUCCUAUUGCAUCGAGCCGAACUGCAUUUCACCAAUCAGAGGAAGCGAUGGCAUCUCCUGCCAAACCAGACGACAUACUUCCUGCCGUGUCCAUGCAGCCGCGUGUCACUUCCUGUCAGGGUGCGGCGUCACACGUGCCAUCGAAGAGCUUCGGAGCAGAGCAGCAUCCAGACUGGCCCACAGAGAAGUGGCAAAUAUGGCAACUCCUGUCAUCAGACAGCAUAGACACACUUCCGGAGACUAUGGUGUGAAACACGCAGCUUAAAGGGACAGUUCACCCAAAAAUGAACUUACUGUCAUCAAAAGAAGAGAUUUGAAGGACCCCAUUGGCUUUCAUUGAAUGAGGCAUUUCUCAAGAUAUUUUCUUUUAUGUGCCACAGAAGAAAAAAAAGGCAUACGGGUUUGGAAUGAGUGAAGGAUGACAGAAUUAUCGUUUUUGGGUGAACUGUCCCUUUAAGAACCUUUUAAUUUGAGAGUCAAUGUUAAUUGAAUUGGAUGCAACACACAGAAUGUUGAAUUAGAAUUUGAAUCGGAAUGAGCGGAAGCACCACAAAAUGUUAGCGCAUUGUUUACAGAUAAUUUUAUAAAAAUAAUUAUUGAU
This 1222-nucleotide long non-coding RNA is filed under the name Sinocyclocheilus grahami. RNAcentral's name for it is "lncRNA (ENSSGRG00000050778.1)". Lineage: Eukaryota; Metazoa; Chordata; Actinopteri; Cypriniformes; Cyprinidae. The record is from RNAcentral.